Pantherophis guttatus is the source of this 498-nucleotide non-coding RNA. NCBI's taxonomy places the organism in Eukaryota, Metazoa, Chordata, Lepidosauria, Squamata, Colubridae. The record is from RefSeq and is a predicted model, not a curated record.
AUCCUCUCCCCUCUUUGGGGAAGAAACCCUGGCAUCUGAACAGGAGGAAUCACACUCGUUCGGAAGCGAUCCAGAUGAUGAGCCACUGGUGGACCCUUUUGUUUUCUAAGGAGGGUAGCAUGUCAGAUCCCUAAAAGUGAUACUGCCAUUCAAGUGAAGGAAGGGGGGACUUGGAUGGCCUGUGUCAUCAGAUAUUUUACAACCUAUAUCCUGGCGCCAAGGAAGCCUGAGAUUCCCUUUACCUGCAGGAAUUUAUAUGAUAGCCAUGUGGGUUGUCUCACUUUAAAGGGAAGUGGUGGGAAUGCAUGUAUGUUCGGGUUCUCAAAGGAAAUAGUAAAGAAAACAUCUUCACACUUGUGUAUUGGCUGAAAUCCGCAUUCUGACCUAAAGGGAGGGGUCUCUACCACUUUAAUCCUACUGCUUUGCCUAAGGGCAUUCAGAUUGUGCUUUAACUGGAUGGUUUUCACUUCUGCUUAAUAAAAGAAUCCUUUUGAACAA